Molecule: long non-coding RNA, 499 nt
Organism: Macadamia integrifolia
Lineage: Eukaryota; Viridiplantae; Streptophyta; Magnoliopsida; Proteales; Proteaceae
Exons: 2
Source: RefSeq, a predicted model, not a curated record
CCCCCCCCCCCCCCCCCCCGGGUGGGAAGCCUGCUGCGUUGACUGCUCCACUUGUUAAUGCAUUGCCUGCUUCUACAUCGAUCACCCAGCGAAAGCUUGUCAUCAGGUUGAGUUUGACUUCUAUGGCAAACGCAAUGGGCAAAAGCUCGUAAAGACAUAGUGAGUGAAGUGAAGGCUGGGGAAUUCCCUGUUAUUUUUUCUCCUCUAGAAUGCCCAUAUAGAGGACUCUCUUCCUGAAUGCAGUUGCAGGGUUUGGUCCGGAUGCUGUAGAUUGACAAUGUAAUAUUAAACUUACAAAAGCAGUUGGAGCAUGAUGUAUGAUUAAGUGGUGAUUCAAAUCUGUUGUAAUAAGAUGCUUCCUCGGGGAAAAAACUUGCUUUGUAAGUUUAGGGAAAUAGCAGCUGUUCAUGUUGUGAAUUUUAUCUUCAAGGCAAGGAUAUUGUUUGUAAGAUUUAUGAACACUUAUUUUCCUAAAAUCUGGGAUCUGGUUCCUCUCCAA